UACGUAGGGGGCAAGCGUUGUCCGGAAUCAUUGGGCGUAAAGCGCGUGUAGGCGGUUCGGUAAGUCGGCUGUGAAAGUCCAGGGCUCAACCCUGGGAUGCCGGUCGAUACUGCCGGACUAGAGUUCGGAAGAGGCGAGUGGAAUUCCCGGUGUAGCGGUGAAAUGCGUAGAUAUCUGGAGGAACACCGGUGGCGAAGGCGGCAUCCUGGACCGGUAUUGACGCUGAGGCGCGAAAGCUAGGGGAGCAAACGGG
This 253-nucleotide ribosomal RNA is filed under the name uncultured bacterium. RNAcentral describes it as "partial 16S ribosomal RNA". It matches the Rfam family "Bacterial small subunit ribosomal RNA", at positions 524 to 776 of the family's 1533-position model. The record is from RNAcentral.